CGCCACGGCUGAACUUCACCAUUCUCGCUCCUCAGCCGGAAGCUGAUCCAGUGAAACUUGGUGCACCCAGGGCGGGCAUGGAGGAGGGAUGGGAAAAGCCUGGCCUACUAUCCUCUAGACUGAGCAGAGGUGGUGGAAAUGGAUUCAGCCCUCUUGAAAAGAAGCAGGAGAAAGGAACACUUCAGCUGGCCUCUCCCCCUGUCUCCCCCAGCCCCAGCCCAGCCCGCUGCUGGAAAACAGCUGAACAAUCUCACCCUGACCAGCCCCAACGAAGCACUUACCGAAGGCUUGGGAGCAGGCGACUUGUUGCCUUCGGGAGUUUUAGUUAGCCAUUUCGUUGAUGCGACUGGAAACCCCCACUUUCAAGCCUGCGGUUUCCUGCACACAGAUUAAGGGUGGUUAGAAAAUGAAACCAAAGUAAACUAUAUCUGCAAUUACCUCUGCUAAGGAA
Ornithorhynchus anatinus (platypus) is the source of this 451-nucleotide long non-coding RNA. RefSeq lists it as uncharacterized. Lineage: Eukaryota; Metazoa; Chordata; Mammalia; Monotremata; Ornithorhynchidae. The transcript is spliced from 2 exons. The record is from RefSeq and is a predicted model, not a curated record.